This is a long non-coding RNA of Daphnia magna, 875 nucleotides long. RefSeq lists it as uncharacterized. The transcript is spliced from 4 exons. Lineage: Eukaryota; Metazoa; Arthropoda; Branchiopoda; Diplostraca; Daphniidae. The record is from RefSeq and is a predicted model, not a curated record.
GUUUUGUAUUUCCUUCAUCUCUUCGGCAUCUAAUUGUUGUUUUUUUUCAAAUACAUUUUUUUUUUGUCAGUUCUGAGAAUUUUUUUAGGUUGGGUCAACUCAUCUGAACUGAAGGAAGGGAGGUCAAAAAUUCAUGAUGGCGGCUUCCAUUAAAUUUUGUUUUGAAAUAUGUACUGUAAUUACUCACCUACCCCAUCGCCUCAACCUCUAAAGUUUUGAGACACAGUAAAAGCUCGAGCGUUGUGCAUAAUUCUCCAUGUUUUUUAUCAGCUGGCCAAUCUUUUCUUCACACGCAGACCCAGAGCAAACACCACACGUGGCCAUCAUUCACCAGUUCAUUCAGAUCUGCUUACCCAUUUCGCCAUCGAGGACCUUUUCGCCUUUUUGAAUACUAGCGGGAGUGAGAACUUCAUUUGGACGUCCUCCAUUGGCAAACGGAUGACCGCCCUUCGUAAGUUUUCCCUUCCGUGAAAAGGAAUUCAGGGGAGUAGUAGACUCGUGUGCCUUUGGGUCCGCUAGUCAUUGCGAAACUUCCGGAAGUUGUUGUAACUGUCCGGCUCAAUCCAAAAUCCGAUAUUUUCAGAACGAACGUUGAAGAAAUCAAUACGUUUGCUGGUUUUAUGUCUCGAUGGACAAAAUGCUUGGAAUGAAUGUAUUGAAGUCCGCUAGCCAUUUGAAUCAUCCCCUCGAUCUCGGAAGGCAUUUCGCCCUUAUAGGUUCCGUUAACGUAGUUGGCAAUUGUGCCGACGCAUAAUUCCAAAAUCAGUGAACACAGAUACUUGAAGUCGUUGUCAUCCUGGACAUGAAGGAGUUUGAGAACGUUAGGAUGGUCGAGGUUUUUCAUGGUCUCCUCUUCUAGUUCUUGAGCAGCUUUG